Molecule: ribosomal RNA, 2787 nt
Filed under: Escherichia coli
Lineage: Bacteria; Pseudomonadati; Pseudomonadota; Gammaproteobacteria; Enterobacterales; Enterobacteriaceae
Also listed under: 6 other names
Description: bacterial LSU rRNA
Rfam family: Bacterial large subunit ribosomal RNA
Source: RNAcentral
AGCGUACACGGUGGAUGCCCUGGCAGUCAGAGGCGAUGAAGGACGUGCUAAUCUGCGAUAAGCGUCGGUAAGGUGAUAUGAACCGUUAUAACCGGCGAUUUCCGAAUGGGGAAACCCAGUGUGUUUCGACACACUAUCAUUAACUGAAUCCAUAGGUUAAUGAGGCGAACCGGGGGAACUGAAACAUCUAAGUACCCCGAGGAAAAGAAAUCAACCGAGAUUCCCCCAGUAGCGGCGAGCGAACGGGGAGCAGCCCAGAGCCUGAAUCAGUGUGUGUGUUAGUGGAAGCGUCUGGAAAGGCGCGCGAUACAGGGUGACAGCCCCGUACACAAAAAUGCACAUGCUGUGAGCUCGAUGAGUAGGGCGGGACACGUGGUAUCCUGUCUGAAUAUGGGGGGACCAUCCUCCAAGGCUAAAUACUCCUGACUGACCGAUAGUGAACCAGUACCGUGAGGGAAAGGCGAAAAGAACCCCGGCGAGGGGAGUGAAAAAGAACCUGAAACCGUGUACGUACAAGCAGUGGGAGCACGCUUAGGCGUGUGACUGCGUACCUUUUGUAUAAUGGGUCAGCGACUUAUAUUCUGUAGCAAGGUUAACCGAAUAGGGGAGCCGAAGGGAAACCGAGUCUUAACUGGGCGUUAAGUUGCAGGGUAUAGACCCGAAACCCGGUGAUCUAGCCAUGGGCAGGUUGAAGGUUGGGUAACACUAACUGGAGGACCGAACCGACUAAUGUUGAAAAAUUAGCGGAUGACUUGUGGCUGGGGGUGAAAGGCCAAUCAAACCGGGAGAUAGCUGGUUCUCCCCGAAAGCUAUUUAGGUAGCGCCUCGUGAAUUCAUCUCCGGGGGUAGAGCACUGUUUCGGCAAGGGGGUCAUCCCGACUUACCAACCCGAUGCAAACUGCGAAUACCGGAGAAUGUUAUCACGGGAGACACACGGCGGGUGCUAACGUCCGUCGUGAAGAGGGAAACAACCCAGACCGCCAGCUAAGGUCCCAAAGUCAUGGUUAAGUGGGAAACGAUGUGGGAAGGCCCAGACAGCCAGGAUGUUGGCUUAGAAGCAGCCAUCAUUUAAAGAAAGCGUAAUAGCUCACUGGUCGAGUCGGCCUGCGCGGAAGAUGUAACGGGGCUAAACCAUGCACCGAAGCUGCGGCAGCGACGCUUAUGCGUUGUUGGGUAGGGGAGCGUUCUGUAAGCCUGCGAAGGUGUGCUGUGAGGCAUGCUGGAGGUAUCAGAAGUGCGAAUGCUGACAUAAGUAACGAUAAAGCGGGUGAAAAGCCCGCUCGCCGGAAGACCAAGGGUUCCUGUCCAACGUUAAUCGGGGCAGGGUGAGUCGACCCCUAAGGCGAGGCCGAAAGGCGUAGUCGAUGGGAAACAGGUUAAUAUUCCUGUACUUGGUGUUACUGCGAAGGGGGGACGGAGAAGGCUAUGUUGGCCGGGCGACGGUUGUCCCGGUUUAAGCGUGUAGGCUGGUUUUCCAGGCAAAUCCGGAAAAUCAAGGCUGAGGCGUGAUGACGAGGCACUACGGUGCUGAAGCAACAAAUGCCCUGCUUCCAGGAAAAGCCUCUAAGCAUCAGGUAACAUCAAAUCGUACCCCAAACCGACACAGGUGGUCAGGUAGAGAAUACCAAGGCGCUUGAGAGAACUCGGGUGAAGGAACUAGGCAAAAUGGUGCCGUAACUUCGGGAGAAGGCACGCUGAUAUGUAGGUGAAGCGACUUGCUCGUGGAGCUGAAAUCAGUCGAAGAUACCAGCUGGCUGCAACUGUUUAUUAAAAACACAGCACUGUGCAAACACGAAAGUGGACGUAUACGGUGUGACGCCUGCCCGGUGCCGGAAGGUUAAUUGAUGGGGUUAGCGCAAGCGAAGCUCUUGAUCGAAGCCCCGGUAAACGGCGGCCGUAACUAUAACGGUCCUAAGGUAGCGAAAUUCCUUGUCGGGUAAGUUCCGACCUGCACGAAUGGCGUAAUGAUGGCCAGGCUGUCUCCACCCGAGACUCAGUGAAAUUGAACUCGCUGUGAAGAUGCAGUGUACCCGCGGCAAGACGGAAAGACCCCGUGAACCUUUACUAUAGCUUGACACUGAACAUUGAGCCUUGAUGUGUAGGAUAGGUGGGAGGCUUUGAAGUGUGGACGCCAGUCUGCAUGGAGCCGACCUUGAAAUACCACCCUUUAAUGUUUGAUGUUCUAACGUUGACCCGUAAUCCGGGUUGCGGACAGUGUCUGGUGGGUAGUUUGACUGGGGCGGUCUCCUCCUAAAGAGUAACGGAGGAGCACGAAGGUUGGCUAAUCCUGGUCGGACAUCAGGAGGUUAGUGCAAUGGCAUAAGCCAGCUUGACUGCGAGCGUGACGGCGCGAGCAGGUGCGAAAGCAGGUCAUAGUGAUCCGGUGGUUCUGAAUGGAAGGGCCAUCGCUCAACGGAUAAAAGGUACUCCGGGGAUAACAGGCUGAUACCGCCCAAGAGUUCAUAUCGACGGCGGUGUUUGGCACCUCGAUGUCGGCUCAUCACAUCCUGGGGCUGAAGUAGGUCCCAAGGGUAUGGCUGUUCGCCAUUUAAAGUGGUACGCGAGCUGGGUUUAGAACGUCGUGAGACAGUUCGGUCCCUAUCUGCCGUGGGCGCUGGAGAACUGAGGGGGGCUGCUCCUAGUACGAGAGGACCGGAGUGGACGCAUCACUGGUGUUCGGGUUGUCAUGCCAAUGGCACUGCCCGGUAGCUAAAUGCGGAAGAGAUAAGUGCUGAAAGCAUCUAAGCACGAAACUUGCCCCGAGAUGAGUUCUCCCUGACUCCUUGA